GCUUUAAAUUUUCUAUUUUUAAACCAAAUUUACUUUUUUACCUUUGUUUAUCUAGGAAGAGAAAGUUAAUAAGCUCUAAAUUUAAUAAAUAAAAAUAAAAUUUUCAACUCGCAAUCCUCAGGAUUUAUAGGAGAAAAUUAAAUAAAUAAGACCUAAUUUUAUUAAGAACAGUAAAAAAUAGAAUAAAUUAAAGC
Molecule: ribosomal RNA, 194 nt
Filed under: Cyclocybe aegerita
Lineage: Eukaryota; Fungi; Basidiomycota; Agaricomycetes; Agaricales; Hemipholiotaceae
Description: partial small subunit ribosomal RNA
Source: RNAcentral